Molecule: transfer RNA, 68 nt
Filed under: Marmota monax (woodchuck)
Lineage: Eukaryota; Metazoa; Chordata; Mammalia; Rodentia; Sciuridae
Description: tRNA.Ala
Source: RNAcentral
GGUCUGUGGCUCAGUGGUAGAAUGCUUGCCUAGCAUGUGUGAGGCACUGGGUUUGAUUCUCAGCACCA